This 38-nucleotide transfer RNA is filed under the name Microtrichalus sp. JB0847. RNAcentral describes it as "partial tRNA-Leu". The record is from RNAcentral. Lineage: Eukaryota; Metazoa; Arthropoda; Insecta; Coleoptera; Lycidae.
UGUGACAGAAUAGUGUGAUAAAUUUAAGAUUUAUUUAU